Molecule: long non-coding RNA, 362 nt
Filed under: Elaeis guineensis (African oil palm)
Lineage: Eukaryota; Viridiplantae; Streptophyta; Magnoliopsida; Arecales; Arecaceae
Description: long non-coding RNA (EGUI_LNC021166)
Source: RNAcentral
CUGCUAUUCUUUCUUGUCAUUUGUUUCUCCAUUUUAGCUUUCAUAUGCAAUAUAACAUAUAAUGAACUUCUACUGUUUUCCUUCUUUUCAUUUUACUCAUUCAUUAAUGUUUUCAAAUUCAUUUAACUCAUUAGUUAAUGAAUUAUGUGUGGAUGCCAAACUUGUCAUUAUGAGUGAAUCCACCCAUACAUACAUGCGUUUGUAACUGUGUGUACUGCAAGCAUGCAUUUGACUAUUUGAGUAUGUAAGCAUGUAUUCAAGGAAAGACAUAUAUGUAGGGUAAAACAAUGAAACACUAGCCCAACCAUGGAGAACCUGGACCUUCACAACAUGCUUUGUUGUAAAUUCAGGGAACAAGGAUG